Molecule: transfer RNA, 72 nt
Filed under: Camelus bactrianus (Bactrian camel)
Lineage: Eukaryota; Metazoa; Chordata; Mammalia; Artiodactyla; Camelidae
Also listed under: 1 other name
Rfam family: tRNA
About the family: Transfer RNA (tRNA) molecules are approximately 80 nucleotides in length. Their secondary structure includes four short double-helical elements and three loops (D, anti-codon, and T loops).
Source: Rfam by way of RNAcentral
GAGGGCAUAGCUCAGUGGUAGAGCGCUUGCUUAGCAUGCAUGAGGUCCUGGGUUCAAUCCCCAGUACCUCCU